Long non-coding RNA from Melospiza melodia melodia, 1899 nucleotides. RefSeq lists it as uncharacterized. The record is from RefSeq and is a predicted model, not a curated record. The transcript has 5 exons. Lineage: Eukaryota; Metazoa; Chordata; Aves; Passeriformes; Passerellidae.
CCCCCUCCUCAAAAAAUGCUUCCAUAAAAACAAUAGGCAAGGCCAUAAUUUAAAGAGAGAAAAAUGUGAUUAUAUAACACAUCCUGCAGUAAUCAAUUUUACCUCCAAUAUCUGCUUUUGUUUUCAAAAUGCUAAAUAAACAAUACAUAAUGCAUCCCUCAUCAGCCAAAACCAUGAGGGCUCUGUGCUCAAAUAACAGGAAACAUAUUCAAUUUUCCUAACAGAAGACAGUUCAUUAAGCUGUGCCACAUCAAAUAAAACUUUAAUUUCUCCAGCAUCAGAGUCGCAAUGAAAGCAAUUGAGGAAGAUGAGCCAUAUGGUACUUCUAUCAGCAAACACAUAUUGCUCAUUCCCCCAAAGUUUUCUAAUUCUGCUCCCCAGACCUGUGUAAUAUAGAUAAUGUGCUCUGAGCGCAGCAACCAUGAGCUAUCUGGUGUACACUUCUAAUACUGUAUUUAAUGGGAAAUAAUGAAUCAUAAAAGCCUGCAGAAGACGGCUUUUGCUAACCUAAAUCUCAGCUGUAAUUUCAUUGUUCUGUGCCUAAGAUGCUGUUUGCCCUUUUCAAACAGCAGCAGUUGAACAUAAUUAUGCUGCUACAAACCUGGGCUGCAAAAAGAAAGCCUUCCUAAUAGAACCAAGUUUUUAUUAACUCUUGAAAUCCUGAGCUUGGGGCAACUGCAAGCUGCCUGUCAGGUUUUAGGGUUCAUUAAAGCACACGUACACGUAUAUCUUGAUUUCCAGUGCGCAGCCCCACAAAUUAAAUUGAUGAUUCCCAUAUCGGGCCAAAAAUGCAACAGGAGAAGGCUAUGAAAAAUUAGGAAAUCUUCUUGACAUCGGGAAAUCCGACACUUGUCUGCUCUAACAUCUCUAAGUGCCAAGGAAAGAGGGGGAUUUUUUUUCCUUAAAGAAAGGCAGGUUUGCCUAUCUCCAAGGGACGAUCGGUCAGGGUUGUUUUCUGAAGAAGAAGCCUAUAGGUAAAGAGGCAUCCAUAUGCUCACGCAGGAAGAUUCAUAAAGGCAAGGACAGGAACAUAAAGGUAUUAUUUUGACAUGAUGGCCCCUGGAAAAUGUCUGACUCAUCCCAACAACAGCCACCCCCACCCUGCCUUCCCCCUUGCAAAAUACCACGACCAAAAUCACCAGCAACCCAAGUCAGAGACAGACCAACAGCCUAAAACCUACAAUGAAUUUACAUCAUCUAUAUGGAGCUUUGGACCAACAGGUUGUUGCCACUUUUGCUGCCUUUGCCUCUGAGAAGUUGAGUAAAUCCUCUGGCCCCUUUCAAAUAUUUUCUCAUCUGCACUGAAUUUCUACUGACAAAGCAACUGAUAGAUACGGACCUCAGAAAUAUUUAUUAUCAAUGAAUAAAGGUUUUUUUUUUUUUUUUUACUUAAUCUGAGGCAAUUAGUUCCUGAAUAAACACAGACUAAGUAAUCUACCACCUCAAAAGAUAAUCAGACUUGAAAAGCGCUGUUUGGUCCUACCCAAGAAAAGCACAACUUGAUUAAAAUGCUUUGGAGGUUCACUUUCAUUUCUUCCCUUUUGCUCCAGAAAACAUUUUAUAACAUCCCAAUAACUUUUAUUUUCUUCCCAUGCCAAACCUGGGGCCUCUGUUGGUUGUUGCUGUCCUUUUUCCCCACCUUCCCUAAAUCUUUAACCCUGCUUCUCAUUUUUCUUUGCCCCUAAUCUAAUCACUAAUUCCUUGGCUUGGCCAAAUAGUUAAAAAUGUUAAGUGCUGCUCACAAUUCCUGCUGCCUCCCCCAUGUAUCUGUCUCUGUUUAUGGAACAGGCCCUGGUUUCCUCCUGCUCUUGUUCAGCUGUAGGUCUGCAGGUCAGGAGACUGUAAAUACACACAGUGCUGCCCCAACCCAUAAAUCUGAGCAAAGGGCAGCCUUAUAUA